This 468-nucleotide ribosomal RNA is filed under the name uncultured bacterium. Its description in RNAcentral is "partial 16S ribosomal RNA". It matches the Rfam family "Bacterial small subunit ribosomal RNA", at positions 28 to 507 of the family's 1533-position model. The record is from RNAcentral.
GACGAACGCUGGCGGCGUGCUUAACACAUGCAAGUCGAACGGUAAGGCCCUGCUUUUGUGGGGUGCUCGAGUGGCGAACGGGUGAGUAACACGUGAGUAACCUGCCCCUGACUUUGGGAUAACUUCAGGAAACUGGGGCUAAUACCGGAUAUGAGCUCCUGCUGCAUGGGGGGGGUUGGAAAGUUUCGGCGGUUGGGGAUGGACUCGCGGCUUCUUAGCUUGUUGGUGGGGUAGUGGCUUACGAAGGCUUUGACGGCUAGCCUGCCUGCGAGGGUGACCGGCGACAUUGGGACUGGGAUACGGCCCAGACUAGUAGGGGAGGCAGCAGUGGGGAAUAUGGCACAAUGGUGGGAAGACUGAUGCAGCAACGCCGCGUGCGGGAUGUCGGCCUUCGGUUUGUAAACCGCUUUCGCCUGUGACGAAGCGUGAGUGACGGUAAUGGGUAAAGAAGCACCGGCUAACUACGUG